Molecule: ribosomal RNA, 397 nt
Filed under: Botuliformidae sp.
Lineage: Eukaryota; Cercozoa; Thecofilosea
Description: partial small subunit ribosomal RNA
Rfam family: Eukaryotic small subunit ribosomal RNA
Source: RNAcentral
AUUCCAGCUCCAAGAGCGUAUAUUAAAGUUGUUGCAGUUAAAAAGCUCGUAGUUGGAUUUCUGGUUUGAUGCCCUGGCCCGCUUCAAAUUUUGGAGUGUGUGCCGGCUGUGCGUCUGCCAUCCUUCUAGAAAACGUCUCCACCCUUCACUGGGCCGGGUUCGCGAUCUAGAUCUUUUACUUUGAAAAAAUUAGAGUGUUUAAAGCAGGCUUUUGCUAUGAAUACAUUAGCAUGGAAUAAUAAUCUAGGACUUCGGUUCUAUUUUGUUGGUUUCUAGUACUGAAGUAAUGAUUGAUAGGGAUAGUUGGGGGUGCUAGUAUUGAGCGGCCAGAGGUGAAAUUCUUGGAUUCGCUCAAGACUAACUUAUGCGAAAGCAUUCACCAAGGAUGUCUUCAUUG